Molecule: ribosomal RNA, 253 nt
Filed under: uncultured bacterium
Lineage: Bacteria
Description: partial 16S ribosomal RNA
Rfam family: Bacterial small subunit ribosomal RNA
Source: RNAcentral
UACGGGGGGGGCAAGCGUUGUUCGGAAUUACUGGGCGUAAAGGGCGCGUAGGCGGCCUGCUAAGUCGGACGUGAAAUCCCUCGGCUCAACCGGGGAACUGCGUCCGAUACUGGCAGGCUUGAAUCCGGGAGAGGGAUGUGGAAUUCCAGGUGUAGCGGUGAAAUGCGUAGAUAUCUGGAGGAACACCGGUGGCGAAGGCGGCAUCCUGGACCGGUAUUGACGCUGAGGCGCGAAAGCCAGGGGAGCAAACGGG